Molecule: non-coding RNA, 969 nt
Organism: Prunus avium (sweet cherry)
Lineage: Eukaryota; Viridiplantae; Streptophyta; Magnoliopsida; Rosales; Rosaceae
Source: RefSeq, a predicted model, not a curated record
GUUUUAGGGUUUCAAGAGCAGGUAAAUGCGACUUCAGGUUUGAGAGGUUUCGAUAUGAUUGCUGAAACUAAUUGGGCAGAGUGAAGAUUCAUUUCAAAUUUGGGGGAUAAUACAGAAAUAUUCUUAUCUACUUUUAGAGCGAUUGUUCGAGGAGAUGUCUGUUGUCCUAUGAGAUGGUGGAGAGCAUCCGAAGAACUCGAUCCCUUUUAUGUCGGUUUUGGGUUCAAAUUAUCACAGACGAAGAUUAUCUUGAGUUUGUGAAGCACCAUUCCUCAGGACAACUAGUUGUGAUAUACAUUACUAACGUCUCACAACAAGGGCAUACAUUAGAUAGCUAAGCUUCUGUUCCAAGUGGUGCAGCACAAGGCAACAAAGGUAAACAAUAACCUGCCGUUGAACAUGUUGAUGUGGGUGGUGAGGGUUUUGUAGAUGUGGAUGUGAAUUUAGAGACAGAUGAUGAUGGAAAUGUAUAUGGUUAUGAGGGUGAUGAAGAGAUUGUCAAUGAUGACUGGUUCGGUGAAGCUUUUGUAGUGCCAGUUGCUGAGCACAUACAUUGUGUCAGGCAUCAUGCAAACUUCAGGGCAUCUGGUCAUGAUAGUUUGGCUUUGAAACAGAGACUAUGAGCUGUAGCUAGAGCCACUAAAGUUCCGUGGUGGGAAGCAGAGAUGGAGAAGAUAAAGGAUUUGUCUGGAGAAGCUUACAAAUGGCUGGAAGAUAGGCCUGCAAGCCAUUGGAGCAGAUCACAUUUCAAAACUGGGCCAAAGUGUGGUAUGUUGCUCAAUAAUUUAUGUUAGUGUUUCAAUUAUGCUAUUUUAGAAGUUAUGGACAAACCAAUAUUGACAAUGCUAAAGAGAUUAAGAUGUUAUUUAAUGUUGAGAAUGGCAAGGCAAAGAGAAAUGCAGUGGACUCAGAAGGUUGGACCAAGGAUUGUAAAGAUAAUGGAAGAACCCUUGAAUGAGAGUGGGUCAU